RNAcentral lists this transfer RNA (113 nucleotides) under Phocaeicola plebeius. Its description in RNAcentral is "tRNA-OTHER". It matches the Rfam family "tRNA". From Rfam's summary of the family: Transfer RNA (tRNA) molecules are approximately 80 nucleotides in length. Their secondary structure includes four short double-helical elements and three loops (D, anti-codon, and T loops). Further hydrogen bonds mediate the characteristic L-shaped molecular structure. tRNAs have two regions of fundamental functional importance: the anti-codon, which is responsible for specific mRNA codon recognition, and the 3' end, to which the tRNAs corresponding amino acid is attached (by aminoacyl-tRNA synthetases). tRNAs cope with the degeneracy of the genetic code in two manners: having more than one tRNA (with a specific anti-codon) for a particular amino acid; and 'wobble' base-pairing, i.e. permitting non-standard base-pairing at the 3rd anti-codon position. RNAcentral also lists the same sequence under 2 other names. The record is from RNAcentral. Lineage: Bacteria; Pseudomonadati; Bacteroidota; Bacteroidia; Bacteroidales; Bacteroidaceae.
GGGCACUUGGUCUAAUGGUAGAACAUCGGCAUAAUUCCAUUCCAUGUUUGUUUGUUAGUGUUAGAAAUCUCUAUUGUUAGUCGAAGAUGCGGGUUCGAUUCCCGUAGUGCCCA